GCAGUGGGGAAUAUUGCACAAUGGGCGCAAGCCUGAUGCAGCCAUGCCGCGUGUGUGAAGAAGGCCUUCGGGUUGUAAAGCACUUUCAGCGGGGAGGAAGGCGAUAAGGUUAAUAACCUUGGCGAUUGACGUUACCCGCAGAAGAAGCACCGGCUAACUCCGUGCCAGCAGCCGCGGUAAUACGGAGGGUGCAAGCGUUAAUCGGAAUUACUGGGCGUAAAGCGC
RNAcentral lists this ribosomal RNA (225 nucleotides) under Klebsiella pneumoniae. RNAcentral's name for it is "partial 16S ribosomal RNA". It matches the Rfam family "Bacterial small subunit ribosomal RNA", at positions 351 to 568 of the family's 1533-position model. The record is from RNAcentral. Lineage: Bacteria; Pseudomonadati; Pseudomonadota; Gammaproteobacteria; Enterobacterales; Enterobacteriaceae.